Molecule: ribosomal RNA, 248 nt
Filed under: uncultured bacterium
Lineage: Bacteria
Description: partial 16S ribosomal RNA
Rfam family: Bacterial small subunit ribosomal RNA
Source: RNAcentral
AUACGUAGGUGGCAAGCGUUGUCCGGAAUUACUGGGUGUAAAGGGCGUGUAGACGGGUGUGCAAGUCAGAUGUGAAAUUCCAGGGCUCAACCCUGGCGCUGCAUCUGAAACUGUGCAUCUUGAGUGUUGGAGAGGAAAGCGGAAUUCCUAGUGUAGCGGUGAAAUGCGUAGAUAUUAGGAGGAACACCAGUGGCGAAGGCGGUCUUUCUGGACAAUAACUGACGUUGAGGCGCGAAAGCGUGGGGAGC